This is a non-coding RNA of Homo sapiens (human), 148 nucleotides long. It matches the Rfam family "Metazoan signal recognition particle RNA". From Rfam's summary of the family: The signal recognition particle (SRP) is a universally conserved ribonucleoprotein. It is involved in the co-translational targeting of proteins to membranes. Lineage: Eukaryota; Metazoa; Chordata; Mammalia; Primates; Hominidae. The record is from Rfam.
GCUGGGUAUAGUGAUGCAUGCCUGUAGUCCCAGUUACUCUGGAGGCUGAGGCAGAAGGAUGGCUUGAGCCCAGGAGUCUCAGGCUGCAGUGAGCUAUGAUCAUGCCACUGCACUCCAGCCUGGUUGACAGAGCAAGCCUCUGUCUCUA